Molecule: non-coding RNA, 126 nt
Filed under: Ditibartonella apis
Lineage: Bacteria; Pseudomonadati; Pseudomonadota; Alphaproteobacteria; Hyphomicrobiales; Bartonellaceae
Description: Bartonella apis TPP sequence
Rfam family: TPP riboswitch aptamer (THI element)
About the family: Vitamin B(1) in its active form thiamin pyrophosphate (TPP) is an essential coenzyme that is synthesised by coupling of pyrimidine and thiazole moieties in bacteria. The previously detected thiamin-regulatory element, thi box was extended, resulting in a new, highly conserved RNA secondary structure, the THI element, which is widely distributed in eubacteria and also occurs in some archaea. Analysis of operon structures identified a large number of new candidate thiamin-regulated genes, mostly transporters, in various prokaryotic organisms.
Source: Rfam by way of RNAcentral
AAACCAACCUUGGGGAGCCUUUCGAGGCUGAGAGUCUGUAUUGAAUUGGUCAAAAUCUGAUCAAUACAGUGACCCAUUGAACCUGAACCAGUUAGGACUGGCGGAGGGAUGGUGUUUAUGUUUGAC